Molecule: long non-coding RNA, 523 nt
Filed under: Brassica napus (rape)
Lineage: Eukaryota; Viridiplantae; Streptophyta; Magnoliopsida; Brassicales; Brassicaceae
Description: long non-coding RNA (BNAP_LNC020096)
Source: RNAcentral
AGUUUAGAAAGUUGAAUGAUCUGUUUUUAAUGAUUGCUUGAUUAACACAAACCAAAGGAAUUCGAUGUUUGAACAAUGAGAGUAAAUGAGUUUUUGUCUUGACAAAGAACUUGCUUAGAAUUGUUAUUUAGACUUAGGGAAAUGUGUUGAUUGAAACUUUACCAUUUUAGAUUAAAUCUUAGUCAUCUGAAAUCAAAUUCAUAUACCCAUGACUCCUCUUUUAUCCAUUUGCUUGAAAGUUGCUAGUAAAUUGUGUUAGAGUCUUGUUAGCUUAAUAAAAUCACUUCAUUAUAUUGAAUGCAUUUAGCUUAAGUAUGAACCUGAAUUCUCUUUGAAUUGAAACACUUAGAAAUGAAUUGACAUCUAAAAUAAUACUUUGAUUUGAACCUUGGACCCUUGAAAAAUCUAUUUCAAUUAUUAGAAGAAAAAUCUGUGUGGACUCAUUUAUAUAAUAGGGGUUUUACUUGCAACUACUGAGUUUGGAUUUCUCACGGAGAGAAUUAUAAUAUUCUAAACAAUCCUG